UCAUAUUGAACCAUCAAGUGAUAAUUAAUAAAACAAAAAUAUAGCUAUGCUUUUUUUUAAGAGACAAAUUAAAUUAUGAUUAAAAAGUAUUAGCACAAUUCAUGCUAGCAUAUGAAGAAGUAUAGACACAUUAUAACCACAAAUUGCAUUCAUACGGCUACAAAUCAAGCAACAAAAACAACAUAAUUACAAAACAGAUCUUAAACAUAAAUAGCAAAAAAAAAUAACAACUAUAAACAUUUUUCUUUUGCCACACAACUCCAAGCAGGGAGACAAUUUAUCUGCCAAGAUAAGCAACACCUUGACAUGCAUUUGCAAUCAAAUAAGCUAAUCAACAUGCACCAAAAUGUAAAUCAUGUCAUUUGAAUAACUAAGUGAUAGGCAUAUUUUCUUUAAAAACAAAAAAACAAAGGCAAGAUCUAAGUUCCAAGUAAAUCUCUUCAAAACAAAAUAUAAUGAAUAAAAAGGUACAAUAUAAAAAAUGUGAAAAUUACCACUGCCGGCGGAAGAACCUGGAGAGAGUAAGCCCGGCUAUUAUGUUAUUAUUUUAGAGUUGCUGUAAAGAAACUUGAGCAGAGUCAUGUAGUUGUUACCGUCGCCGUAAACAUGACCGAACCAAAAUAAAUCUUCCCCUAAACUUACAAGAACAAACUCGGCGAAGUGACUCGACCUCGUCAGUAUGGUUGCUUGAAGGUUGACGUCGUGGAGCGUGGUUACUAAGUUUAUUCAUGUGGCGAUGUCGUGGUAUGGUGAUGGAAGUGGAAUACAUCGACGAAAUCUUAUGUUAGAUGCGGUGGCCGGUCAUGUGUGUUUAACAAGUAGAUGAUGAUGGACAUGAAGGUUGUUUCGGGGUGAGUCGGAAGUGAAUCGGUGGGAGAACAGUGAGAGAGAUCGCUGGUUUUAAUGGUGAUUUGAACACGGUGUUGGAUCGAUGUUGGUGGUGACGUCGGUGGUCUCGUGGCCGGAUAUGAAGUGGGUUUUGUCGGUGGUGCGAAGGUCAGUCGAAGGGAGUUCGUCGGAGGGUUGUGGUUGUGGCACGCGGUGUUUGUGAGCGAAGAACGGAGAGGGGUUGUUGGCGGUUGGCUCGCCGGUGAUUUAUGGUGGUGGGUUUAUGGUAAGAGGCGGAAAAAUGGAGAGAAGAGGUAACAGUGGGUUUGUUGGAUUUUGACUCUUUUUCUUUAUUCUUUUCUUUUUGUUUCUCUUUUCUCAUGCUACAGAGAGUGAGUCCUCCUAUGAGAGAGAAAUGUGGGUAUAUGUAUAUGAAUUUUCAGCUUUUUCUUUUCUUAUUUUUUGUUUUAUUGGGUGAGUCCAGAUAGAAGAGGGAGAGG
This 1328-nucleotide long non-coding RNA is filed under the name Lathyrus oleraceus (garden pea). RNAcentral's name for it is "Pisum sativum (pea) long non-coding RNA (PSAT_LNC008794)". The record is from RNAcentral. Lineage: Eukaryota; Viridiplantae; Streptophyta; Magnoliopsida; Fabales; Fabaceae.